This is a non-coding RNA of Ornithorhynchus anatinus (platypus), 72 nucleotides long. The record is from Rfam. NCBI's taxonomy places the organism in Eukaryota, Metazoa, Chordata, Mammalia, Monotremata, Ornithorhynchidae.
AGCAGCGGGGCUCAGUGGAAAGAGCCCGGGCUUGGGAGUCAGAGGACGUGGGUUCUAAUCCCACCUCCGCCA